This is a non-coding RNA of Salmo salar (Atlantic salmon), 55 nucleotides long. Lineage: Eukaryota; Metazoa; Chordata; Actinopteri; Salmoniformes; Salmonidae. The record is from Rfam.
UGAAUGCACUAACUGUAAGUCGCUCUGGAAAAGAGCGUCUGCUAAAUGACUACAA